GAUGAACGCUGGCGGCGUGCUUAACACAUGCAAGUCGAGCGGAGAUAUAAAAAGGAAGCCCUUCGGGGUGGAAUUUUUACAUCUUAGCGGCGGACGGGUGCGGUAACACGUGGGUAACCUGCCCCUAUCACUGGGAUAACACACUGAAAAGUGUGCUAAUACCAGAUAACAUAAGCUUUUGGCAUCAUUAGCUUAUCAAAGAAUUUCGGAUAGGGAUGGGCCCGCGUCUGAUUAGCUAGUUGGUGAGGUAACGGCUCACCAAGGCAACGAUCAGUAGCCGACCUGAGAGGGUGAUCGGCCACACUGGAACUGAGACACGGUCCAGACUCCUACGGGAGGCAGCAGUGGGGAAUAUUGCACAAUGGGCGAAAGCCUGAUGCAGCAACGCCGCGUGAGCGAUGAAGGC
Molecule: ribosomal RNA, 406 nt
Filed under: uncultured bacterium
Lineage: Bacteria
Description: bacterial SSU rRNA
Rfam family: Bacterial small subunit ribosomal RNA
Source: RNAcentral